CCUACGGGAGGCAGCAGUGAGGAAUAUUGGUCAAUGGGCGUAAGCCUGAACCAGCCAAGUCGCGUGAGGGAUGAAGGUUCUAUGGACCGUAAACCUCUUUUAUAAGGGAAUAAAGUGUGGGACGUGUACUGUUUUGUCUGUACCUUAUGCAUAAGGAUCGGCUAACUCCGUGCCAGCAGCAGCGGGAAUACGGAGGAUCCGAGCGGUAUCCGGAUUCUUUUGGUUUAAAGGGUGCGUAGGCGGCCUUUUAAGUCAGCGGGGAAAGUCUGUGGCUCAACCCUAGAAUUGCCGUGGAAACUGGGAGGCUUGAGUGUGUUUGAGGCAGGCGGAAUGCGUGGUGUAGCGGUGAAAUGCUUAGAUAUCACGCAGAACCCCGAUGGCGAAGGCAGCCUGCCAGGCCAUGACUGACGCUGAGGCACGAAAGCGUGGGGAUCAAACAGGAUUAGAUACCCUGGUAGUC
Molecule: ribosomal RNA, 460 nt
Filed under: uncultured bacterium
Lineage: Bacteria
Description: partial 16S ribosomal RNA
Rfam family: Bacterial small subunit ribosomal RNA
Source: RNAcentral